This 468-nucleotide ribosomal RNA is filed under the name uncultured bacterium. RNAcentral describes it as "partial 16S ribosomal RNA". The stretch from base 20 to 329 matches the Rfam family "Bacterial small subunit ribosomal RNA", at positions 47 to 358 of the family's 1533-position model. The record is from RNAcentral.
GACGAACGCUGGCGGCGUGCUUAACACAUGCAAGUCGAACGGAAAGGCCCUGCUUUUGUGGGGUGCUCGAGUGUCGAACGGGUGAGUAACACGUGAGUAACCUGCCCUUGACUUUGGGAUAACUUCAGGAAACUGGGGCUAAUACCGGAUAGGAGCUCCUGCUGCAUGGUGGGGGUUGGAAAGUUUCGGCGGUUGGGGAUGGACUCGCGGCUUAUCAGCUUGUUGGUGGGGUAGUGGCUUACCAAGGCUUUGACGGGUAGCCGCCCUGAGAGGGUGACCGGCAACAGGGGGAUAGAGAAGGGACCCAGACUGAAGCGGGGGGAAGGGGGGGGAAAUAGGACAAAGAGGGCGGAGGGAUGAAACAGAGGCGCCGGGUGGGAAAGGAGGGCUGUGGGGGUAGAACCGGUUUGGGAGGGGAAAGAAGAGGGAGUGACGGUAGGGGAAAAGAAAGAACCGGAAAACUACGUG